Molecule: long non-coding RNA, 1217 nt
Organism: Ictalurus punctatus (channel catfish)
Lineage: Eukaryota; Metazoa; Chordata; Actinopteri; Siluriformes; Ictaluridae
Source: Ensembl
CGAGUUACUACAGACUUCCUAUCAGAUCAGGCCAGUCUGAUCAUUAUCCUCUGAUCUCUCUCAUCAACCAGGGGUUUCAGACUGCAGACCCUCUGCUCACAGGAUGUUUUUUUGUUUUUCACCCCAUUCUGUGUAAACUCUAGAGACUGUUGCGUGUGUGAAAAUCCCAGGGGAUCCGCAGUUUCUGAAACACUCACACAAGCCCAUCUGGAGCCAAUAACCAUGCCAUGGUUAAAGUCAGAGAUCACAUUUUUACCCCAUUCUGAUGUUUGAUGUGAAUAUUAGCUGAAGCUCUUGACCUGUAUCUGAGUGAUUUUGUGCAUUGUGCUGCUGCCACAUGAUUGGCUGAUUGGAUCAUUGCAUAAAUGAGCAAGUGUUCCUAUUAAAGUGGACGGAGAGUGUAUAUGCAGAUUUUCUCAAUACCUUUAAUGUCGUGUUUAAUAGAACAUAAUUAGACACUACACUAGUCUAGCGUGUGUGUGUGUGUGUGUGUGUGUGUGUGUGUGUGGGGACGCAGGGAGUUUCCAGCGUGGAUAUUAAAGAACAAUCACAGAUUCAUAAAUUGAAUGUGGGAAUGACAUGGAAAGUUAUCACCAAAUGUAUGAUUUGACAGCAAAAAAAAAAAAAAAAAGGGGGGAUAGAAACUCAUUAUGAGGAAAUAUCAGGCAAAUAUAAACACAAUAACAAUGACAAGUACAAAGCUGAAGCCUGUGUGUGGGCAAAACCCGCUGUUUCAUAUAAACACACGAAAGGUGAAUUCCACAUUCCCUACAAAAUGCCUCCCUAAUUUCCUUAUAAUGUGGUUCUUUUUCAUGUUUUUAUUAUUUGACUCGACGGGACUUUCUAAACCACAUCACAUACUGAAAUUGCGUGUAAACAGUAAGCUGAUAAAACGCCUUACCUGGAGCAACUUUUGUGUAUAAAGCGUCGAGCUGCUGAGAGAGCAGUCCUACUUGUUGAAUAUCGGAGGUUAAAGUUGUUGAAUAAGCUACACCAGCUGAACAGACUAACUCCACAUUCCAGUGUUUUUGAGUUUAAUCAUAAGUGUAAAUGCGACACAGAGACUUCAAAGUGAGUCACAACUCCCCUGGUGUUGAUGGAGAUUCUUCCCUGUUUGAGGCACUGAGUGAAGCCUAGCUGCCUGAGGGAUGGAAAGCGAGCUGGGACAAACUUCAGCCGUAUCACUGCAACAGGCGCCAUGCAACACAAACACAAAC